This 449-nucleotide ribosomal RNA is filed under the name uncultured bacterium. RNAcentral's name for it is "partial 16S ribosomal RNA". It matches the Rfam family "Bacterial small subunit ribosomal RNA", at positions 29 to 523 of the family's 1533-position model. The record is from RNAcentral.
AACGAACGCUGGCGGCAUGCCUAACACAUGCAAGUCGAACGAGAUCUUCGGGACUAGAGGCGCACGGUAGAGUAACGCCUAGGAAUCUGCUCUUUGAUUCGGAAUAACAGUUGGAACACACAGUUAAUACCGGAUGAUGACGAAAGAACACAGAUUUAUCGGAAGAGGAUGAGCAAGCGGAGGCUUAGCUAGAUGGUGUGGAAAAGGAGCACGAAGGCGACGCUCCUUAUCUAGUCUGAGAGGAUGAUCAGCUACACUGGGACUGAGGCACGGCCCAGACUCCUACGGGAGGAAGGGGUGGGGAAUAUUGGACAAUGGGCGGAAUGCUGAUCCAACAAUGCCUCGUGAGUGAUGAAGGCUUAAGGGUUGUAAAGCUUUUUUAUCCGUGUUGAUAUUGACAGUACUGGGAGAAUAAGCUCCGGCUAACUCCGUGCCAGCAGCCGCCGUAA